Molecule: long non-coding RNA, 454 nt
Filed under: Eutrema salsugineum
Lineage: Eukaryota; Viridiplantae; Streptophyta; Magnoliopsida; Brassicales; Brassicaceae
Description: long non-coding RNA (ESAL_LNC002078)
Source: RNAcentral
AAGGAGCCACCUCGAGCGGUGGUGGUGGUGGUGGUGGCGGAAGGAGAAAAACCGUUGGAGGAGGAAAGAUAAGGUAUAGAGAGUGCUUGAAGAAUCACGCCGUUAACAUCGGUGGCCACGCCGUGGACGGUUGCUGCGAGUUCAUGCCUUCAGGUGAAGAUGGUUCACUCGACGCUCUCAAGUGUGCAGCUUGUGGCUGCCACCGCAACUUCCACCGCAAGGAAACCGAGAUCAUCGGCGGCAGAGCUCACAGAGUUCCAACUUACUACAACCGUCCGCCUCAGCUUCCACCGCCGCCAGGAUACCUUCAUCUAACAUCUCCGGCAACGGCAGGGCAGCCUUACAGGCCACCGGCUGCAUCGGCGGAUCAGGAGGAUACGUCUAAUCCGAGCAGCAGCGGCGGAACAACGGCUAAGAGGUUUAGAACGAAAUUCACGGCGGAGCAGAAAGAGAA